Molecule: ribosomal RNA, 453 nt
Filed under: uncultured bacterium
Lineage: Bacteria
Description: bacterial SSU rRNA
Rfam family: Bacterial small subunit ribosomal RNA
Source: RNAcentral
AACGAACGCCGGCGGCAUGCCUAACACAUGCAAGUCGAACGAUGGCUUCGGCCAUAGUGGCGCACGGGUGAGUAACGCGUGGGAACCUGCCUUUUGGUUUGGGAUAACUCCGGGAAACUGGAGCUAAUACCGGAUGAGCCCGAGCAAUCGGGGAAAGAUUUAUCGCCAAAAGAGGGGCCCGCGUCCGAUUAGGUAGUUGGUGGGGUAACGGCCUACCAAGCCUACGAUCGGUAGCUGGUCUGAGAGGAUGAUCAGCCACACUGGGACUGAGACACGGCCCAGACUCCUACGGGAGGCAGCAGUGGGGAAUAUUGGACAAUGGGCGCAAGCCUGAUCCAGCAAUGCCGCGUGGAUGAUGAAGGCCUUAGGGUUGUAAAGUCCUUUCGUCGGGGACGGAUGAUGACGGUACCCGCAGAGAAGCCCGGCUAACUUCGUGCCAGCAGCCGCGGUAAU